This 76-nucleotide transfer RNA is filed under the name Oscillospiraceae bacterium. RNAcentral describes it as "tRNA-Pro". It matches the Rfam family "tRNA". Rfam says of the family: Transfer RNA (tRNA) molecules are approximately 80 nucleotides in length. Their secondary structure includes four short double-helical elements and three loops (D, anti-codon, and T loops). Further hydrogen bonds mediate the characteristic L-shaped molecular structure. tRNAs have two regions of fundamental functional importance: the anti-codon, which is responsible for specific mRNA codon recognition, and the 3' end, to which the tRNAs corresponding amino acid is attached (by aminoacyl-tRNA synthetases). tRNAs cope with the degeneracy of the genetic code in two manners: having more than one tRNA (with a specific anti-codon) for a particular amino acid; and 'wobble' base-pairing, i.e. permitting non-standard base-pairing at the 3rd anti-codon position. Lineage: Bacteria; Bacillati; Bacillota; Clostridia; Eubacteriales; Oscillospiraceae. The record is from RNAcentral.
CGAGGUGUAGCUCAGUUGGUAGAGUGCUUGGUUUGGGACCAAGAUGCCGCAGGUUCGAGCCCUGUCACCUCGACCA